UGGGGAAUUUUGGACAAUGGGCGAAAGCCUGAUCCAGCCAUACCGCGUGAGUGAAGAAGGCCUUCGGGUUGUAAAGCUCUUUCAGCCGGAAAGAAAUUGCUUCUAUUAAUACUAGGAGUAGAUGACGGUACCGGAAGAAGAAGCACCGGCUAACUACGUGCCAGCAGCCGCGGUAAUACGUAGGGUGCGAGCGUUAAUCGGAAUCAUUGGGCGUAAAGAGCGUGUAGGCGGCGUGAUAAGUCAGAUGUGAAAGCCCUGGGCUUAACCCAGGAAGUGCAUUUGAAACUGUCAGGCUUGAGUAAGGGAGAGGGAAGUGGAAUUCCUGGUGUAGAGGUGAAAUGCGCAGAUAUUAGGAGGAACACCGGUGGCGAAGGCGCCGCUCUGGGCCGAUACUGACGCUGAGGGGCGAAAGCGUGGGUAGCAAACAGG
RNAcentral lists this ribosomal RNA (429 nucleotides) under uncultured bacterium. RNAcentral describes it as "bacterial SSU rRNA". It matches the Rfam family "Bacterial small subunit ribosomal RNA", at positions 355 to 776 of the family's 1533-position model. The record is from RNAcentral.